This 253-nucleotide ribosomal RNA is filed under the name uncultured bacterium. RNAcentral's name for it is "partial 16S ribosomal RNA". It matches the Rfam family "Bacterial small subunit ribosomal RNA", at positions 524 to 776 of the family's 1533-position model. The record is from RNAcentral.
UACGUAGGGUGCAAGCGUUGUCCGGAUUUAUUGGGCGUAAAGAGCUCGUAGGCGGUUUGUCACGUCGACUGUGAAAGCCCGGGGCUCAACUCCGGGUCUGCAGUCGAUACGGGCAGACUAGAGUUCGGUAGGGGAGACUGGAAUUCCUGGUGUAGCGGUGAAAUGCGCAGAUAUCAGGAGGAACACCGGUGGCGAAGGCGGGUCUCUGGGCCGAUACUGACGCUGAGGAGCGAAAGCGUGGGGAGCAAACAGG